UGUAUUUAUCUAAUUUCUUAGUUUUUCAUCUUUUUCCUCUAAUUUUAAUUCAACAUAAUUAAUUAUUAAAUCUGAAUAUUAGGUUCAAUUACAUCCCCUAAUAAUGAGGAAACAGAGAAGGCAACGGUUUCAAAAUUCUCAGAAAAUUUUCUAGCCAAAAUUUGUAUCUGGACAUCCAAAAGUCGCCAUAUGAAACGCACCUUUAUUGAAGAAAACAAAAGUGCUCCUUCGUAACAACAAUAAAAGCAACAAAAAGAACCGCAGUUGACAUUCCAUUCUCCCUCCUACAGCCUACAGGGUUUUGAUCUACUAAGAACGAGCGGAUAUAUCUGAAUAUAGGUGGAAGAAUCGUUAGCAGAGGCAUCUCUCUUUUGAACCAUUUCUUCAAAAAGUGAAAAGGCACCUUCUCUUGAUGAUUUUUUCCACGGCUCAGUUUGUUUUCACAUCCUCGCAGUCUAAGGUAUAUACUCCACAAAAUCAUUAAACUCCUGCUUUUGAAAGUUAAAGUUCUCUCUUGUAAUGUUAGGUCCACGUUAAUUAUCUUUUUCUUUUUAUUUCUGUCCACUUUAUUCGGUGCCCGAAACUCUAAUUAGUUGAAGUGUUGACAGCUCAUGGGCAGACUUUCAUCGUUUGUCACUUGAACAAUAUGUGUGUGUAAAUAUUUUAACAAAUACGUAUUUUUCUUAAGUUACAACCAUUGUAAAAAAA
Non-coding RNA from Nicotiana tabacum (common tobacco), 708 nucleotides. The record is from RefSeq and is a predicted model, not a curated record. Lineage: Eukaryota; Viridiplantae; Streptophyta; Magnoliopsida; Solanales; Solanaceae.